GAACCGGCCGCAGCAAAUCGCACACCCUCUCUGGGUGCCAGAGUGACUAGCGCAGGACGCGUAAGAGAGGAGCGAGACCCCGGACCAGCCCGCACCGCGGAGGACCGGAGAGGGCGAUUCGUGGUGUUUACUAUAAUAAUAUGAUGGUGAAGAAUUUGGCCCACAAGAAACACUUAUUCAAGCCUACAAUUUUCCCUGGGCAAGGGAAGGUCACC
This 215-nucleotide long non-coding RNA is filed under the name Homo sapiens (human). RNAcentral describes it as "HSALNT0014288". The record is from RNAcentral. Lineage: Eukaryota; Metazoa; Chordata; Mammalia; Primates; Hominidae.